UUGGAUGGAAUGCAGCUUGGGAUGAUCUCGGCUGAAACAUGCAUGAUUUUCAAGACAUCAUACCCUAGAAGAGUAAAGAUACUCAACCAGCAUGAACCAAGCAGCAUCUUUCGGCAGAAAGAAUUCGACUUUCAAUCACUGGGUGUUGGUACUGAUGAAUCAUUUAAAGAGAUGUUCCUGGGAUGAUUGCCUCGAGAUGUACCAUCCACGCGUUGCCAGAAAAUAUGGUGUCAAGCAUGUGAAAGGUUUCCUAAUCCAUGGACCUUCUGGUACGGGGAAGACUCUCUUAGCUCGCACACUUG
This is a non-coding RNA of Coffea arabica (coffee), 302 nucleotides long. NCBI's taxonomy places the organism in Eukaryota, Viridiplantae, Streptophyta, Magnoliopsida, Gentianales, Rubiaceae. The record is from RefSeq and is a predicted model, not a curated record.